UGGGGAAUAUUGCACAAUGGGCGCAAGCCUGAUGCAGCAACGCCGCGUGAGUGAUGAAGGCCUUUGGGUCGUAAAACUCUGUCCUAGGGGAAGAAUAAAAUGACGGUACCCUGGGAGGAAGCCCCGGCAAACUACGUGCCAGCAGCCGCGGUAAUACGUAGGGGGCAAGCGUUAUCCGGAAUCACUGGGCGUAAAGGGUGCGUAGGCGGUCCUUCAAGCCAGAGGUAAAAGGCAUUGGCUUAACCAAUGUAAGCCUUUGGAACUGUGGGACUUGAGUGUAGGAGAGGUAAGUGGAAUUCCUAGUGUAGCGGUGAAAUGCGUAGAUAUUAGGAGGAACACCAGUGGCGAAGGCGACUUACUGGACUAUAACUGACGCUGAGGCACGAAAGCGUGGGGAGCA
RNAcentral lists this ribosomal RNA (400 nucleotides) under uncultured bacterium. RNAcentral describes it as "bacterial SSU rRNA". It matches the Rfam family "Bacterial small subunit ribosomal RNA", at positions 355 to 770 of the family's 1533-position model. The record is from RNAcentral.